RNAcentral lists this ribosomal RNA (519 nucleotides) under uncultured bacterium. Its description in RNAcentral is "partial 16S ribosomal RNA". It matches the Rfam family "Bacterial small subunit ribosomal RNA", at positions 28 to 507 of the family's 1533-position model. The record is from RNAcentral.
GACGAACGCUGGCGGCGUGCCUAAUACAUGCAAGUCGAGCGAGUCUGCCUUGAAGAUCGGAGUGCUUGCACUCUGUGAAACAAGAUACAGGCUAGCGGCGGACGGGUGAGUAACACGUGGGUAACCUGCCCAAGAGAUCGGGAUAACACCUGGAAACAAAUGCUAAUACCGGAUAACAACAGAUGAUGCCUAUCAACUGUUUAAAAGAUGGUUCUGCUAUCACUCUUGGAUGGACCUGCGGUGCAUUAGCUAGUUGGUAGGGUAACGGCCUACCAAGGCGAUGAUGCAUAGCCGAGUUGAGAGACUGAUCGGCCACAUUGGGACUGAGACACGGCCCAAACUCCUACGGGAGGCAGCAGUAGGGAAUCUUCCACAAUGGACGCAAGUCUGAUGGAGCAACGCCGCGUGAGUGAAGAAGGGUUUCGGCUCGUAAAGCUCUGUUGUUGGUGAAGAAGGACAGGGGUAGUAACUGACCUUUGUUUGACGGUAAUCAAUUAGAAAGUCACGGCUAACUACGUG